Long non-coding RNA from Folsomia candida, 202 nucleotides. RefSeq lists it as uncharacterized. The transcript has 2 exons. NCBI's taxonomy places the organism in Eukaryota, Metazoa, Arthropoda, Collembola, Entomobryomorpha, Isotomidae. The record is from RefSeq and is a predicted model, not a curated record.
AGCUACGCAUAAAGACAUCGACGAAAGCAUCCAGAACUGGCUGAACAAAGCUCCUGCCAGGAUCAACUGAUCAACGCAAGAAAGAAAAAGAUGCAGCUUGGAUGGAAUUGCAGAGCACGUUUCGUCAUAAAUUAAUUGCUACUUAUAUUUUAAUUUGUAUUAAAGCUACGAAUAUAAAUAUAAAUAAAUUGAGUAAAAAAUA